GACGAACGCUGGCGGCGUGCUUAACACAUGCAAGUCGAACGGAAGGGCCCUGCUUUUGUGGGGUGCUCGAGUGGCGAACGGGUGAGUAACACGUGAGUAACCUGCCCUUGACUUUGGGAUAACUUCAGGAAACUGGGGCUAAUACCGGAUAGGAGCUCCUGCUGCAUGGUGGGGGUUGGAAAGUUUCGGCGGUUGGGGAUGGACUCGCGGCUUAUCAGCUUGUUGGUGGGGUAGUGGCUUACCAAGGCUUUGACGGGUAGCCGGCCUGAGAGGGUGACCGGCCACAUUGGGACUGAGGUACGGCCCAGACUCCUACGGGAGGCAGCAGUGGGGAAUAUUGCACAAUGGGCGGAAGCCUGAUGCAGCAACGCCGCGUGCGGGAUGACGGCCUUCGGGUUGUAAACCGCUUUCGCCUGUGACGAAGCGUGAGUGACGGUAAUGGGUAAAGAAGCACCGGCUAACUACGUG
This 468-nucleotide ribosomal RNA is filed under the name uncultured bacterium. RNAcentral describes it as "partial 16S ribosomal RNA". It matches the Rfam family "Bacterial small subunit ribosomal RNA", at positions 28 to 507 of the family's 1533-position model. The record is from RNAcentral.